This 215-nucleotide unclassified non-coding RNA is filed under the name uncultured Marasmius. Its description in RNAcentral is "sequence contains ITS1". The record is from RNAcentral. Lineage: Eukaryota; Fungi; Basidiomycota; Agaricomycetes; Agaricales; Tricholomataceae.
UUGAAAACAUUGUAAAGAAAAGUUGAGCUGGCUCUUCACGGGCAAGUGCUUGCUUUUCUUUCAAUCUUCAUCCACCUGUGCACAUUUUGUAGAGAGAUUUUUGAGAAAGGGGAAACCUCCCCAAAGUAUCAAGGACUCUCUAUGUCUUUACAAACUCAAUGUAUGUUUUUGAAUGUCUUGUAUAAGGGCCUUCAUUGACCCUUUUAAAAUAUAUA